Paramacrobiotus metropolitanus is the source of this 692-nucleotide long non-coding RNA. RefSeq lists it as uncharacterized. NCBI's taxonomy places the organism in Eukaryota, Metazoa, Tardigrada, Eutardigrada, Parachela, Macrobiotidae. The record is from RefSeq and is a predicted model, not a curated record. The transcript has 4 exons.
GAGAAUUUUUACGAAUUCGAAGCCCCUAUUCGUGAUACAUUCGGUUUUUACAAAUACUUUGUUUUUGCGGCAUAACGUGUUCAAAUAUAAAAAUGUACUUUUCGCUGUUCAUUACGGCCGUCGCUGCUCUCCUCUGCAUCGUAUAUACGGGCGUUCCGGUUUCUGCCGGUUCGCACCACCCGGCGGGACAUGUAAUGGGUCUUCACAAAAAACCGUCUUCCGAGGCUACGCAUGUCAAAGUACAAGGGAAGAAUCACGGAGCCACGGGUCUGAAGGCGGAGCCAACAACCUCGGUCGUGAGUCACACACAACAUCUUUAUGUCCCUAAACCCAAAACAGCCGAAGGUUCAGGAAAAAGGGGCCAAAUACUUGUAAACAAUAGUUUUGAUCGUUAAAAAUUUCUACGGCAGUGACCGCCUUGUCUGCUUCCCUCUGAUGAUGCUUUUUUUACGGAUCCAGACGAUGUUCCUGUAAUGCACUCUCGUUAUUCUAAUAUCUGAAACACCUAUUCCUCCAAAUUUCAAGAUUCCUUAUCAGAUGUUACCAUCACUGUAAGGUGCUUUUCAAGUAUCAUUUUCAUAUCUUACCCAGCGGUCAGAAAUCUGUCUGCAUAAAACACUGUUGUCGUUUUGAAUAUAUAAAAGCUUCAAACAGCAGAUAUACAGAAACGUUUCUUAGUACACAAUGUUCUU